This 433-nucleotide ribosomal RNA is filed under the name uncultured bacterium. Its description in RNAcentral is "bacterial SSU rRNA". It matches the Rfam family "Bacterial small subunit ribosomal RNA", at positions 355 to 796 of the family's 1533-position model. The record is from RNAcentral.
UCGAGGAUCUUCGGCAAUGGGGGCAACCCUGACCGAGCGACGCCGCGUGGGCGAUGAAGGCCUUCGGGUUGUAAAGCCCUGUCGGGGGGGAGAAAGGCCGAAAGGCGUGAUCUAUCCCCGGAGGAAGCACGGGCUAAGUUCGUGCCAGCAGCCGCGGUAAGACGAACCGUGCGAACGUUGUUCGGAAUCACUGGGCUUAAAGGGCGCGUAGGCGGGCCUUCAAGUCCGGGGUGAAAUCCUCCCGCUUAACGGGAGAAGUGCCUCGGAGACUGAAGGCCUCGAGGGGGGUAGGGGCGUGCGGAACUAUGGGUGGAGCGGUGAAAUGCAUUGAUAUCCAUAGGAACUCCGGUGGCGAAGGCGGCACGCUGGACCCUUUCUGACGCUGAGGCGCGAAAGCCAGGGGAGCAAACGGGAUUAGAUACCCCCGUAGUCC